UACGUAGGCAGCGAGCGUUGUUCGGAAUUACUGGGCGUAAAGCGCACGUAGGCGGCUUUGUAAGUUAGAGGUGAAAGCCUGAUGCUCAACAUCAGAAUUGCCUUUAAGACUGCAUCGCUUGAACGUCGGAGAGGGAAGUGGAAUUUCCGGUGUAGCGGUGAAAUGCGUAGAUAUCGGAAGGAACAUCAGUGGCGAAAGCGACUUCCUGGACCAGUACCGACGUUCAGGCACGAAAGCGUGGGGAGCAAACAGG
This 253-nucleotide ribosomal RNA is filed under the name uncultured bacterium. RNAcentral describes it as "partial 16S ribosomal RNA". It matches the Rfam family "Bacterial small subunit ribosomal RNA", at positions 524 to 776 of the family's 1533-position model. The record is from RNAcentral.